Molecule: ribosomal RNA, 273 nt
Filed under: uncultured bacterium
Lineage: Bacteria
Description: partial 16S ribosomal RNA
Rfam family: Bacterial small subunit ribosomal RNA
Source: RNAcentral
UACAGAGGUCCCAAGCGUUGUUCGGAUUUACUGGGCGUAAAGGGUGCGUAGGUGGUCGGGUAAGUCUCAUGUGAAAUCCCGCAGCUCAACUGCGGAACGGCAUGGGAUACUAUUCGGCUCGAGGAUUGGAGGGGGGACUGGAAUUCCCGGUGUAGCAGUGAAAUGCGUAGAUAUCGGGAGGAACACCAGUGGCGAAGGCGAGUCCCUGGACAAUUCCUGACGCUGAGGCACGAAAGCCAGGGGAGCAAACAGGAUUAGAAACCCCCGUAGUCC